This 468-nucleotide ribosomal RNA is filed under the name uncultured bacterium. RNAcentral's name for it is "partial 16S ribosomal RNA". It matches the Rfam family "Bacterial small subunit ribosomal RNA", at positions 28 to 507 of the family's 1533-position model. The record is from RNAcentral.
GACGAACGCUGGCGGCGUGCUUAACACAUGCAAGUCGAACGGAAAGGCCCUGCUUUUGUGCGGUGCUCGAGUGGCGAAGGGGUGAGUAACACGUGAGUAACCUGCCCCUGACUUUGGGAUAACUUCAGGAAACUGGGGCUAAUACCGGAUAGGAGCUCCUGCUGCAUGGUGGGGGUUGGAAAGUUUCGGCGGUUGGGGAUGGACUCGCGGCUUAUCAGCUUGUUGGUGGGGUAGUGGCUUACCAAGGCUUUGACGGGUAGCCGACCUGGGAGGGGGACCGGCCCCACUAGACCUGGAAUGCGGCACAGACUCCUACCGGACGCAGGGGUGGAGAAGAUUGCCCAACGGGCGGAGGCCAGGUGCAGCGCCGCCGCGUGGGGGAAAUCGGCCUGGGGGUAGUAAAGCGCUUUUGUCUGUGACGAGGCGUGAGUGACGGUAACGGGUGAAGAAGCACCGGCUAACUACGUG